GGCGGUAUAGCUCAGUGGUACAGCGCAUGUCUAGCAUAUACAAGGCCCUGGGUUCAAUCCCCAAUACCACCA
Molecule: non-coding RNA, 72 nt
Organism: Ictidomys tridecemlineatus (thirteen-lined ground squirrel)
Lineage: Eukaryota; Metazoa; Chordata; Mammalia; Rodentia; Sciuridae
Source: Rfam